Molecule: long non-coding RNA, 200 nt
Filed under: Lathyrus oleraceus (garden pea)
Lineage: Eukaryota; Viridiplantae; Streptophyta; Magnoliopsida; Fabales; Fabaceae
Description: Pisum sativum (pea) long non-coding RNA (PSAT_LNC030050)
Source: RNAcentral
UUUUCUUCUGCUGGCUACACCAAUCAUUUGGUUACCGCCAUACUCUUUGGUUCAGACAAUCUAACCCUAUGGAUACAAACAACACAACCCUUGGUCCAAACAAUACUUUCACAACAUCCACACAACACUUUCCUUAUUUCAAAACUCUAUUACAAUUCAAGGAACUCUUUCCUUCUUUUAUUCAAUUCAAACAAAUCUUU